RNAcentral lists this ribosomal RNA (112 nucleotides) under Parcubacteria group bacterium. RNAcentral also lists the same sequence under 1 other name. The record is from RNAcentral.
GGUGGCGGUUAUACUGGGUUUGUCCCACCCGUUCCCAUUCUGAACACGGAAGUGAAAUAAUCCAAGGCCGAUGAUAUUGCCAUUUAGGUGAGAAAGUAGGUAGCCGCCACCA